GAUAGGGACCCCUCCAGUUUCCUCAAAGUCUGAAUAAGAAGCACUCAUCACAGAAUGUGAGGGUUGGAAAUGCCCAUUAGAGACCAUGCUUCACACUUCUUUCUGUUUUCCUGACGAAGGAAUCCAGCUGAUGAAUGUUGCCAGGUAAGCUGAGGUGGAGAAGGACCCUGCCAGGGUCACUGCAAGAAGAGCUUUGGGACAAAGCCAGUCUAAGAUACAUUGGAUUGCAGCCUGGAGUUCUAGUCAGAGGGAUGACAGAUCUUCAUAUUAAACACAGG
Molecule: long non-coding RNA, 278 nt
Organism: Callorhinus ursinus (northern fur seal)
Lineage: Eukaryota; Metazoa; Chordata; Mammalia; Carnivora; Otariidae
Source: RefSeq, a predicted model, not a curated record